RNAcentral lists this long non-coding RNA (561 nucleotides) under Bos taurus (domestic cattle). Its description in RNAcentral is "long non-coding RNA NONBTAT019497". Lineage: Eukaryota; Metazoa; Chordata; Mammalia; Artiodactyla; Bovidae. The record is from RNAcentral.
GUCUGCAUCAGAAAUUAGUUACAGAUAAUCUAGUUUCAUAAAAAAUUUUGAUUUAGCAAUUACUGAUUACUUAAUACAGUGUGUCUCCCUAUCUAAUGAAAACAGCUUAUGUUUCAAAUAUUAUGGUUGACAUUACUGAGUCUGAAGUAUUUUGGGAGUGUAUGUCUUAAAACAAAGUUGACUUAUUUUAACCCUUUUUUCUUUCUUUAUUCAUUUUCCUGCUCAGCUCUUCUGGAAAAUUUUCCUCUCUUAAACAAUGUUUCUCCCAUAAAUACUCUUAUCAGUACAGUAAACUUAUGUUUAUGGUAUCCUAUCCUGGUAUCAAUAAAUUAAUUAUCAAUAAUAUAUCUAAUUCAUUUAAGAUAUUUUGUUACUUGUACUAAUGAUGGCAAAAAAAAAAAGUGGUUUCUGUCUUUCAUGGACUUACAGUAUAUUUAAGAGAGAUGAUAUAUUUGAGAAUAUGAACUACAUGAGCAUUUAAUUAACACAGAUAAAUUUCAGAUGCCACAAAACAAUGCAAAAUUUGUCAUUAAAUGAAGAUAAAAAGUAACAACUUGCUUU